RNAcentral lists this ribosomal RNA (253 nucleotides) under uncultured bacterium. Its description in RNAcentral is "partial 16S ribosomal RNA". It matches the Rfam family "Bacterial small subunit ribosomal RNA", at positions 524 to 776 of the family's 1533-position model. The record is from RNAcentral.
UACGAAGGGGGCUAGCGUUGUUCGGAAUCACUGGGCGUAAAGCGCACGUAGGCGGAUCUUUAAGUCAGAGGUGAAAGCCUGGAGCUCAACUCCAGAACUGCCUUUGAUACUCGGGAUCUCGAGUCCGGGAGAGGUGAGUGGAACUGCGAGUGUAGAGGUGAAAUUCGUAGAUAUUCGCAAGAACACCAGUGGCGAAGGCGGCUGACUGGUCCGGUUCUGACGCUGAGGCGCGAAAGCGUGGGGAGCAAACAGG